ACUUGUGAUGCACAACAUGGGUCCAGAGAGACCCGAGUGAGUUUCAACUGUAAAUAUCUUUAAAAUAAAUUAUUUAAUCUUUCACAAUUCCUCAAUUAACUUGUUUUUGAUCAUCACAAAUUCUUAUUUUCAUUUUUACUUUCUUACUUUUUGAAUAGAAAUCACUUCCCUUCAUGGAUGUUAGGGUUAGAAUAGCUCGUGUCGAAGGUUAAAGUGUUGUGUUCCUGACGAACACCUCAGACGUGUCCUCAUGAAAUAUGCAGCACAGACGACACCUGUUGACCUCGGGACAGAUAAAAGGUUCACGGUAACGUAAAGGACAAUUAGAUUCAAAAGGUUUUAAAAAACAUUAUAGGAAAAUUAUAUUCUCACGUGUAUAUAUAUAUAUAUAUAUAUUAUUAUAUAUUAUUAUAUGUUAUGGAUAACUUUGCAUAAUUGGUUCAUUUUUUUAAUAAAAUUGUGGAUCUUUAAACUUCGUGUGAGGACCAACACACACCGGGAUGGAGACUGCACACCGGUGUUUUAAGAAAUCCAGUAGCACCUUUAAAACUUAAAGUUAGCAAGUAAAGUGCAGAUAAAUGAAACACCUGUCGCAUCACAAGCUGUAAGGUAACCUCCAAGAAAAAUAAAUCUGUGUUUAGCAUUAUUAUUCUGUGUGAGAUGGUAGUAUUGGGGAAAUAUCCGAUGAUGCUAACACAGCUGACGUUAUAAGUUUUAUAAUCGCAGGUAUUUUGUGUUAUUUCUAACGAGGCAGCGUUUCGUGUCCUCAGACGCUUUUGAUUUGUAGAACAUUGUGAAAUUACAGCUGCAUACAGCAUAUUUUUGCUCGUAACCCCGCGCUCUUGAAUCAGUUUAGUAAACACAUGACUUGGUACAGAACACCGACCCGUAGUGACGAACAUCUAACCUCCAACAGCUCGGUCCGUCUCCUCUCUGUCGAGUUUUGAGCUUCCAGAGAUCGAUGGUUCUGCUGUGGACACCUGCAGGAUUUUCUUCGGCGCUGAACCCGACACCACCACCACGACCACGACCACACCCACCACCACCACGACUAAAUCAACCACACCCACCACCAAGAAGCAGCUUGUGGCCACAACCAAAAAGCCAGCCGUCCAAUCACCACCAAGGAAACCAGAAACACCAAUCAGGCCACAGCCAGCUCCGGCAGGACCAAUCACUGACAGCCUCCUCUACUACCUCCUGGCCAAUGGCAGAGCACACGCGGCUGGUUCCCCCCCGGGGUUAGGGUCAUCGGAUAGCGACGAG
Molecule: long non-coding RNA, 1266 nt
Filed under: Cottoperca gobio
Lineage: Eukaryota; Metazoa; Chordata; Actinopteri; Perciformes; Bovichtidae
Description: lncRNA (ENSCGOG00000012725.1)
Source: RNAcentral